Molecule: ribosomal RNA, 500 nt
Filed under: uncultured bacterium
Lineage: Bacteria
Description: partial 16S ribosomal RNA
Rfam family: Bacterial small subunit ribosomal RNA
Source: RNAcentral
AUUGAACGCUGGCGGCAUGCCUUACACAUGCAAGUCGAACGGCAGCACGGGAGCAAUCCUGGUGGCGAGUGGCGAACGGGUGAGUAAUAUAUCGGAACGUGCCCAGUCGUGGGGGAUAACGCAGCGAAAGCUGUGCUAAUACCGCAUACGAUCUCUGGAUGAAAGCGGGGGACCGUAAGGCCUCGCGCGAUUGGAGCGGCCGAUAUCAGAUUAGCUAGUUGGUGGGGUAAAGGCCCACCAAGGCGACGAUCUGUAGCUGGUCUGAGAGGACGACCAGCCACACUGGAACUGAGACACGGUCCAGACUCCUACGGGAGGCAGCAGUGGGGAAUUUUGGACAAUGGGCGCAAGCCUGAUCCAGCAAUGCCGCGUGCAGGAUGAAGGCCUUCGGGUUGUAAACUGCUUUUGUACGGAACGAAACGGCGAGCUCUAAUAAAGUUUGCUAAUGACGGUACCGUAAGAAUAAGCACCGGCUAACUACGUGCCAGCAGCCGCCGCAG